Molecule: non-coding RNA, 414 nt
Organism: Styela clava
Lineage: Eukaryota; Metazoa; Chordata; Ascidiacea; Stolidobranchia; Styelidae
Source: RefSeq, a predicted model, not a curated record
GUCAGUGAAUGUAAUAACAAAAUAUACCAACAUUAGGUAAUGAUGUUCGAGUUCAAAACAGCGAAUAAGAAAUGAAUUUCAUUCACAAUAUUUCAGAGCUGAACGUCUGGACUUAACAACCGCAAUGGAGUUAUCAAUGUAUUUAUCAAAUGAGCAAGAAUAUGUGCCAUGGAAUAGUUUUCUAGCCUCCGCUAAAUACAUGGAAUAUCUGCUGAGUCGUUCAUCUUUGUAUUGAAUGUUCAAGACCUACUUGUUGAAACUUGUCGAACCAACUCUGUACGAUUACUAUGGAUGGGACGAAGAGAAUAAAAACGAUGAUGCUCUUUUUGAGAGAAUGACAAGACAGACAGGCAUUAAAGCCGCAAACGCGACGGCAUUAUAUAGGAUGUGGAUGGAUGAUCGAACUAAUAAAAG